Molecule: ribosomal RNA, 121 nt
Filed under: Clytia hemisphaerica
Lineage: Eukaryota; Metazoa; Cnidaria; Hydrozoa; Leptothecata; Clytiidae
Source: RNAcentral
GUCUACGUCCAUACCACGAUGAAAAAACACCCGUUCUCGUCCGAUCACGGAAGUUAAGCAUCGUCGGGCCGGGAUAGUACUUGGAUGGGGGACCGCCUGGGAACUCCCGGUGUCGUAGGCU